RNAcentral lists this transfer RNA (46 nucleotides) under Diancistrus jeffjohnsoni. RNAcentral describes it as "partial tRNA-Leu". The record is from RNAcentral. Lineage: Eukaryota; Metazoa; Chordata; Actinopteri; Ophidiiformes; Bythitidae.
CCUGCUCCUGAAGGAUAAUAGCUCAUCCAUUGGUCUUAGACCAAAA